CYUGAGAAACCCAAAAGAUCGAAUGGGGAGAUUCAUCGUCAGCUCAUUUUGUAUAUGUGUAAGUUAUGAUGCGGGUUACUACUUGUAGUAUUGCCUGCACAUUCUUGUAUAUUUAGUUGCAAGAUGUUGUCGGCGUGCACUUCUCCCCUAGUAGGACGUCGCGACCUGUUGGGUGUCGGUCUACGGCCCAAGUGAUAGCCUUUAAUGUAAUUUAAAAAACAUUGAAGAUCCUUGGUGUUUUCUGACCGGCUACUUGGCAGUAUUCGUACGGUAUUUAGCCGCUAAAUUUAUUAAGCGUCCAUAUCCRUCACAAGCGAGGCUAAUUUACUGAUAGUACGGACCUAGUGCCGUCGUUGGUAUUGGCCAGCUGUUGGUUGAUGGUAUUCUAGGACUGGCUAAAAUUAAUUACCGGUCGGCGAUGCUACUGCUUUGGGUACUUUCAGGACCCGUCUUGAAACACGGACCAAGGAGUCUAACAUGUGCGCAAGUCAUUGGGAUUUUUUUAAAAUUAAACCUAAAGGCGCAAUGUNNNUAAAGGUCGACCUUGCGUCAACCGA
Molecule: ribosomal RNA, 557 nt
Filed under: Aleiodes nigricornis
Lineage: Eukaryota; Metazoa; Arthropoda; Insecta; Hymenoptera; Braconidae
Description: eukaryotic LSU rRNA
Source: RNAcentral